CCGUAAUAACGAACGAGACCUUAACCUGCUAAAUAGCCAGGCCGGCUUUUGCUGGUCGCCGGCUUCUUAGAGGGACUGUCAGCGUCUAGCUGACGGAAGUUUGAGGCAAUAACAGGUCUGUGAUGCCCUUAGAUGUUCUGGGCCGCACGCGCGCUACACUGACAGAGCCAGCGAGUUAUUUCACCUAGGCCGGAAGGUCCGGGUAAUCUUGUGAAACUCUGUCGUGCUGGGGAUAGAGCAUUGCAAUG
RNAcentral lists this ribosomal RNA (248 nucleotides) under uncultured fungus. Its description in RNAcentral is "partial small subunit ribosomal RNA". It matches the Rfam family "Eukaryotic small subunit ribosomal RNA", at positions 1325 to 1591 of the family's 1831-position model. The record is from RNAcentral. Lineage: Eukaryota; Fungi.